Long non-coding RNA from Gasterosteus aculeatus aculeatus (three-spined stickleback), 443 nucleotides. NCBI's taxonomy places the organism in Eukaryota, Metazoa, Chordata, Actinopteri, Perciformes, Gasterosteidae. The record is from Ensembl.
GCCCCAACAUAUCACCCGGGGAGGUAUUGAUCAACGCCAAUGACCCAAAAAAGCAGCGUGUGUGUGUGUCCCAGGCCUUGCCCACCCUCCCCCAACCCCGCUGCAACUCGUGGACAAGGCGGCGCGGCGUCCAUUCAUGCGGUGCGCUUUGCGGUGACACAAGACGUGCAUCCGCCACCUGCGAGAAGCACGUCCCCUCGAAGAGCUGUCUGUCUCCCAGCUAAUAGGGCCCGUGAGUGAUAGGGGGGGGGGGGACCCGUCUGCCGCCAUUAUGAAGCACAGGCAAUUUAAAAGGACAUUCACCUUGGGACUAUUUAUAUAUGAACUAGUGCCAGAGAAUAGGCUACUUACUCCAGGGGGCCUUUGCAGUGUGAUUGACUCGCAUGGAUGCCUUGCCGUGAGAGCUCUGGAGAGCCACCAGUGCCCUCUUGUGUCCGUCCCAU